RNAcentral lists this ribosomal RNA (499 nucleotides) under uncultured bacterium. RNAcentral's name for it is "partial 16S ribosomal RNA". It matches the Rfam family "Bacterial small subunit ribosomal RNA", at positions 28 to 507 of the family's 1533-position model. The record is from RNAcentral.
GACGAACGCUGGCGGCGUGCCUAAUACAUGCAAGUCGAACGGUCUGACUGGGAGCUUGCUCUUGUUCGGUCAGCGGCGGACGGGUGAGUAACACGUCGGCAACAUGCCCGCCAGACCGGGAUAACUCCGGGAAGCCGGAGCUAAUACCGGAUAACACCGAAGACCGCAUGGUCUUUGGGUGAAAGGCGGCGCUAGCUUCCACUUGCGAAUGGGCCCGCGGCGCGUUAGCUAGUUGGUGAGGUAACGGCUCACCAAGCCGGGGCGGCGUAGCCGGCCGGAGGGGGUGGGCGGCCAGACUGGGAGGGAGAGACGGCCCAGACGGCUACGGGAGGCAGCAGUAGGGGAGCAUUCGCAAGAGGCGAGAGCCUGACGGAGCGAGGCCGGGCGAGCGAGGGAGGCCGUCGUGUCGGUAGGGACGGUUGUGAGGGAGGAAGGAGCGCCGUUUGCAGAAGGGGGCGGGGUGACGGUACCUGAAGAGGAAGCCCCGGCUAACUACGUG